RNAcentral lists this ribosomal RNA (744 nucleotides) under uncultured bacterium. RNAcentral's name for it is "bacterial SSU rRNA". It matches the Rfam family "Bacterial small subunit ribosomal RNA", at positions 8 to 796 of the family's 1533-position model. The record is from RNAcentral.
AGAGUUUGAUCAUGGCUCAGAGCGAACGCUGGCGGCAGGCUUAACACAUGCAAGUCGAGCGGGCGUAGCAAUACGUCAGCGGCAGACGGGUGAGUAACGCGUGGGAACGUACCUUUUGGUUCGGAACAACCCAGGGAAACUUGGGCUAAUACCGGAUAAGCCCUUACGGGGAAAGAUUUAUCGCCGAAAGAUCGGCCCGCGUCUGAUUAGCUAGUUGGUGAGGUAAUGGCUCACCAAGGCGACGAUCAGUAGCUGGUCUGAGAGGAUGAUCAGCCACAUUGGGACUGAGACACGGCCCAAACUCCUACGGGAGGCAGCAGUGGGGAAUAUUGGACAAUGGGCGCAAGCCUGAUCCAGCCAUGCCGCGUGAGUGAUGAAGGCCCUAGGGUUGUAAAGCUCUUUUGUGCGGGAAGAUAAUGACGGUACCGCAAGAAUAAGCCCCGGCUAACUUCGUGCCAGCAGCCGCGGUAAUACGAAGGGGGCUAGCGUUGCUCGGAAUCACUGGGCGUAAAGGGUGCGUAGGCGGGUCUUUAAGUCAGGGGUGAAAUCCUGGAGCUCAACUCCAGAACUGCCUUUGAUACUGAAGAUCUUGAGUUCGGGAGAGGUGAGUGGAACUGCGAGUGUAGAGGUGAAAUUCGUAGAUAUUCGCAAGAACACCAGUGGCGAAGGCGGCUCACUGGCCCGAUACUGACGCUGAGGCACGAAAGCGUGGGGAGCAAACAGGAUUAGAUACCCCAGUAGUCC